RNAcentral lists this ribosomal RNA (253 nucleotides) under uncultured bacterium. RNAcentral's name for it is "partial 16S ribosomal RNA". It matches the Rfam family "Bacterial small subunit ribosomal RNA", at positions 524 to 776 of the family's 1533-position model. The record is from RNAcentral.
UACAGAGGUCUCGAGCGUUAGGCGGAAUCACUGGGCUUAAAGCGUGUGUAGGCGGAUCGUUAAGUGCCUUGUGAAAUCCCACGGCUUAACCGUGGAACUGCUUGGCAUACUGGCGAUCUUGAGCAACCUAGGGGCGAGCGGAACAAAUGGUGGAGCGGUGAAAUGCGUAGAUAUCAUUUGGAACGCCAAUGGUGAAAACAGCUCGCUGGGGGUUUGCUGACGCUGAGGAGCGAAGGCAUGGGGAGCGAACAGG